Molecule: ribosomal RNA, 253 nt
Filed under: uncultured bacterium
Lineage: Bacteria
Description: partial 16S ribosomal RNA
Rfam family: Bacterial small subunit ribosomal RNA
Source: RNAcentral
UACGGAGGGGGCGAGCGUUAUUCGGAAUUAUUGGGCGUAAAGGGCGCGUAGGCGGCUUGGUAAGUCAAAGGUGAAAUCCCUCGGCUCAACUGAGGAAUUGCCUUUGAAACUGCUGAGCUUGAGGCCGGGAGGGGGUAGCGGAAUUCCCAGUGUAGCGGUGAAAUGCGUAGAUACUGGGAGGAACACCAGUGGCGAAGGCGGCUACCUGGACCGGUUCUGACGCUGAUGCGCGAAAGCGUGGGGAGCAAACAGG